UACAGAGGUCUCAAGCGUUGUUCGGAUUCAUUGGGCGUAAAGGGUGCGUAGGUGGCGCCGUAAGUCGGGUGUGAAAUUUCGGAGCUUAACUCCGAAACUGCAUUCGAUACUGCGGUGCUUGAGGACUGGAGAGGAGACUGGAAUUCCGGGUGUAGCGGUGAAAUGCGUAGAUAUCCGGAGGAACACCAGUGGCGCAGGCGGCUCUCUGGGUCGGCCCUGACGCUGAGGCACGAAAGCGUGGGGAGCGAACGGG
This 253-nucleotide ribosomal RNA is filed under the name uncultured bacterium. RNAcentral describes it as "partial 16S ribosomal RNA". It matches the Rfam family "Bacterial small subunit ribosomal RNA", at positions 524 to 776 of the family's 1533-position model. The record is from RNAcentral.